Caldibacillus debilis is the source of this 115-nucleotide non-coding RNA. Lineage: Bacteria; Bacillati; Bacillota; Bacilli; Caryophanales; Bacillaceae. The record is from Rfam.
AAAAAAUAAACCCUGCAUUUCGCUGCAGGGUCCCUUCAGGCCGAUGAGCCCGAAGGCAAAGGGAGAGGAGAAACCGGAGGAAGAACUUAUGGGGAUCGUUAAGUCUUCUCCGCGG